UCUCAAAACCCUUUCCCAUGCUAGCUAGCUGGUCCCGGCCGGCCGGCCUGAUCUCGAUCUCUAGGUUGUUGUUUCUGCUGGCUCUCUCUCUUUUCAUCUUCCUUUCCUUUUGGUGCGUGCAGUGGCAUUGCAACCAUUACUGCGUGGUCACCACACAUUGCAUUGGUGACUAGUAGUAUAAAGCUAGGAGCUAUAGGCUUGCAGCUGUGUGUGUGGCCUCUCAAUGCAUGGUCGAUGGCAGAUGGCAUCAGCUGAUUCUGCUGGAAAGAAAAAAGAAAGCAUGCAGCUAUAGAUACAUAGCUUAGCCUUGGCGCCAUAGCCACUCUACAUCAAAGGCACGCAUAUGGAGUAGCUAGCUAGUGUAUGUCAGUGUAUGCAUGUGUGUGUGGAUGUAGUGGCUACACGUAUGUAC
This 412-nucleotide long non-coding RNA is filed under the name Brachypodium distachyon (stiff brome). Its description in RNAcentral is "long non-coding RNA (BDIS_LNC004127)". Lineage: Eukaryota; Viridiplantae; Streptophyta; Magnoliopsida; Poales; Poaceae. The record is from RNAcentral.